UGGUUCUGGCAUNGAUGAAGAACGCAGCGAAAUGCGAUAAGUAAUGCGAAUUGCAGAAUUCCGUGAGUCAUCGAAUCUUUGAACGCACAUUGCGCCCUUUGGCAUUCCGAAGGGCAUGCCUGUUCGAGCGUCAUUAUCAACCCUCAAGCCUGGCUUGGCGUUGGGCAGUGGUGGUUACUCACCCGCCCCAAAGGCAACGACGGCGUCUCCACGACCCCCGGUACAACGAGCUUUUUUACGGGGCACGUACUGUGGUGGGCGUGGGGACCCGGUCUUACCAUUUAUUUCUCAGGUUGACCUCGGAUCAGGUAGGGAUACCCGCUGA
Molecule: unclassified non-coding RNA, 325 nt
Filed under: uncultured fungus
Lineage: Eukaryota; Fungi
Description: partial contains 5.8S ribosomal RNA and internal transcribed spacer 2
Rfam family: 5.8S ribosomal RNA (bases 1-133)
Source: RNAcentral